Topomyia yanbarensis is the source of this 698-nucleotide long non-coding RNA. RefSeq lists it as uncharacterized. The transcript is spliced from 2 exons. Lineage: Eukaryota; Metazoa; Arthropoda; Insecta; Diptera; Culicidae. The record is from RefSeq and is a predicted model, not a curated record.
AGUUUCCCUUGGUUCAAGACCAAUAGUCGCUCGAACACUUCAUAUAAAAAUCAAUUCAAAUUACAUUUUUGUAGCCUUGCGGAAUUAAAAAGGUUAAAUCUUAAAAAUGGCGGUUUCGCAAUCUUGUCGCUAUCUUGUUUUUUCGCUAUUUUUGCUAAUUUCCAGUGAUAACCACAAUAUACAAGCAGUCGAUUCCGGUUGAUGUAAACAGUUUUGUUUAGAAAUUCGAUUUAGGCAAAGGAGUAAGUGCGAAAAGUGAAGUUUUAUCCUACAGUACAAUCCGAUUACGAUUCCUCUCCGACGGCGAUUGUUACUACGAGGAGUUUACUAUUCCGGCAGCGAAGAGGAAACACCGCAAAUAAGGACCGACGAACCAAAGCCGCAACUUGAAUGACAUUUUAAUAAAAGGUGGUGCAAUUUUGUGUAAAAACCUGAAACUUUAGAAGCCAGGAAAAGAGCCAAGGAGUGUUAUGUCGCCAAUAACGGAUUGGUGGUACUCAUUGCCGAAGGAAAGAAUCCUCUCAACACGUCCGAGCUCCAUCCAGACGAGGAAUAUUGGGCCACCGUACGCGGCACCUGAAGCCGAAAAAAUCAGCCUCCUGUCAAGGACGACGUCCCUGUGCAGCCAGCAUAACUGCCAUGGAAAUCAAAACAUUAACUUUGAAUCGAUUGAUUAAAAGCUGUAAUUAAUUACUAAA